This 23-nucleotide non-coding RNA is filed under the name Rattus norvegicus (Norway rat). Lineage: Eukaryota; Metazoa; Chordata; Mammalia; Rodentia; Muridae. The record is from RNAcentral.
UUGGUUUGGGCCUCUCUGAAGGG